UCUAUUUUGCUUGCAUAUUUCGAAGGGUGAACAUAUGUUUGAUGGUCAAUAAAUUUAAUAGAAUUAUUUUAUUAUCAAAAAAAUAUUGUCUUGUCGACAUAACUUAAAAUAUGUUUGGACUUUUAUUCCAGUGGAUUGAUUAAUUCAACUCUCUCCUUCCAAUAAAAAUAUUGUCUUGUCGACAUAACUUAAAACAUAUAUGCACUUUUAUUAGAGUGAAUUGAUUAAUUCAUCUUUCUCAUAAAAAUAUGUGACUUAUUCCUAUUUAUAAAAAUAAUUGUAUCAAUAAUAAAUUUUUUCCCAUUUAUAAAAAUAUUUAUCUUAUAGUCAUUUAUAAAAAUAGAAGUUAAAACAAUAAAUUAAUAGCCAAUAAUAAUAAUAUAAUAUAUAGUAGUAUAAAACAACAUGAAUACAAAUGAAAUUCGUAAAGACAUUUAAGAUUUAUAACGUAUAUAAUUUAAUUUACACAAGUAUUCAUACUGUUUUAUACUACUAUUCAUGCGGCGGAGAAUGAGCCGGCACGACGAAUUUCUUAGACCGACGACAAAAGGAGAAAAGACCAUCGCUUUUCUUACCCAUAUUUAAUCCAGAAAUUAAUAUAAUAUAAUACAUUAAUAGUUAAUAAUAAUAUAAUAAUAAUGGUUGAACAUUGAAAAUGCGAUGAGAAAGAAAGAAAGGAAGAAGAGAGUGAUAGUGAUGUUGGUGUUUUUCUGUUUCUUGCGCUUAUAUCAAGAGAUUCAAAUGAAGAGGGGAAAAAAUGGCAUCAAGAUAGCACACACUUAAGAAUCCACUUCAGAAAAGAAAGUGUUUUUCGCAAUUGAUGAAGAGGAAAAAAGAAAUUCGAAAGAAUUUACCUUUUGGAGGAUUUGAAAACUUAACCGAUGUUGUGGAAAAUGAAAAGACAUGACAUUGUGAAGAACUAUUUUUGUUCUACAGCAGUGGAAUGUAGAAAAUCUGCAUGAAGAAUCAUGUAGGAGGGAAAUUGAAAAAUCUAAAAAUAAUAAUGUGACUCUUGGAUAUUUGAAAAUUUUAUUUAUAAAUUUAACUAAUGAUAGCAAUGAUUAAUGAAAUGAAAAUUAUCAAUUAAGACAUGAAAUUAGUCCUUUAAUUAGUUUUUAG
This 1119-nucleotide long non-coding RNA is filed under the name Lathyrus oleraceus (garden pea). RNAcentral describes it as "Pisum sativum (pea) long non-coding RNA (PSAT_LNC000785)". The record is from RNAcentral. Lineage: Eukaryota; Viridiplantae; Streptophyta; Magnoliopsida; Fabales; Fabaceae.